Molecule: unclassified non-coding RNA, 231 nt
Filed under: Hevea brasiliensis (rubber tree)
Lineage: Eukaryota; Viridiplantae; Streptophyta; Magnoliopsida; Malpighiales; Euphorbiaceae
Source: RNAcentral
UCGUGUUGAAGUAAACCUUCUUUUCUGGUUCUCCUGCUACUUCCAAAUUUAUCCGAUUCUAACUCCAUGUGUGUGAUUGCCAGAUAGUUCACUGGAGAAAUCACCUAAGAUUUCCUGAAGAUACUAAACUCUCACAUGAGGCAAAGGAUCUUAUUUGCAGGUUACUAUGUGAUGUUGAGCAUAGACUGGGAACUGGAGGUGCAAACCAAAUAAAGGCUCAUCCUUGGUUCA